Molecule: long non-coding RNA, 906 nt
Organism: Myotis davidii
Lineage: Eukaryota; Metazoa; Chordata; Mammalia; Chiroptera; Vespertilionidae
Exons: 2
Source: RefSeq, a predicted model, not a curated record
UACCCAGCCCCCUGAAGCUCAGUGACCAUGCAGAGACCAAAGGUUGCAGGGGUGAUGCAGCUACUGGGAGAAGGGAAACAGGCCUCCUGGAGCCUCACUCAUGGGAUGUGAUUCCUCCGGAGACAGUGUGCUAGGUUCUGAGACAAAUAUCCUGAAGUUUUGUGCUAAAUGAAUGGAGGGUGCAAUAUUGUAAUUUGUAAGAAAUUAUUUGGUCAUUCAGGAAAUACACCUCCAUAAACAUAUGUAAAUUUCCCAAGUGUUGAGAGUGAAAGAGGUGUGUUGUUAGAGCAAUAAAGUAACUUUCGGAAAGCACCUCAGGAUGGGCUGGUUGCCAAUGAAGCCAACCCAGUGGCCCUCACGGUUAGAACUUUCUGUUCCUUCCCCACUUACCAUACCUAACCAUGCCCACCUCCAACCUCCUCCAGGGAGGAGAGAGGGGCUGGAGGUUGAAUCAAUUGACAGUGAUUGAAUCAACAGUGCCUGUGUAAUGAAGCCUCCAAAAAACCACGAGGAUGAGUUCAGAGAGCUCCGGGAUGGUGAACGUGUGGAGACUUGGGGAGAGCAGUGCACCUGGAGAGAGCUGGGAGCUCUGUGCCCAUUCCCACAUAUCUUGCCCAAUCUAUAACAGGUUGGUCAGAGCACAGACAUGAUCUUUGGACACGAGGACAAUGGCAUCCUAAGCAUCUGAGAAAAGGCAACUAAGAUGCUAUUUGGAAAGAUAUGAUGAAAGCCAAGCAAACUCAAGAGGCAGAGAAGAUAAUGAAAAGAAGGACAGGGCAGAGAAAGUACAAAGAAGAAGAAACUCCUUUGCAAAUAUGUGAUUGUUUGGAGGCUUCUAAAAGCUAAAGGCCAUAGUCCAGGCAAGACCAUUAUCAAAAUCUCUUAAAAUCCUAUAUAAUAAAAGCC